This 5260-nucleotide unclassified non-coding RNA is filed under the name Lucilia cuprina (Australian sheep blowfly). RNAcentral's name for it is "mOXD1 homolog 2, transcript variant X2". The record is from RNAcentral. Lineage: Eukaryota; Metazoa; Arthropoda; Insecta; Diptera; Calliphoridae.
UGGUAUCCGUCGGAAGCCAUUGAUGUUUGUUGAUGUUCUUUGAACAGGUUGCAAAUUGUUUUGUUUUCUUUUUGCGUGCAUCAUUAAACGUGUUUGUUCGAAUGUUCCUUGUGAAACCUAAAGAGAAAAAACAAAUAAAAACAAACAGCUCCUGUCGAAAGCCAUCCAUACAUCCAUCCAUCGAAUGUUUAUGUAAAAUGAAAUAAAAAUGCACAACCGUUUGUUCUCUCGCGGGUAUUUUAAAUUAGAGGCAUUUUCGUAGUUUGCUUCUAUUUUCGCAAAUUAUACAUUUUAUUUGGGGUACUUCCGUUUCCCACUAUACACAAUCGGUGUCAUUCUUUUUGCCUGUCGAUGCAUACAUGCACUAAAAGAUAGUGGAUCUGCAUAUGUGUCGACGGUUUAAACUCUACACAAUUUCAAAUUUGCAUGAGAGUGAGUGUGUAUGUGUUGAAAUUGCAAUUGCACAUAGUUACAAACGUAUGUCUGUGUGCGUUGGCCAUAGCUUUUGGCCCAGGCAAUAACAAUAGCAAUAAUAAUAACAACAUAAACAAUAGAAAAAAAGCUGGGUAAUACUCUUAUAGCCUUCGGCCUAACGUGCAUCAAGCCAACAGCAUCUCGACACACAAUAAAUCUGGAUUAUAUUACAGCCACUUUUGGGAAUAAAUAUACAUAAAUAUUUUACAUUUUAAGCAAUAAAGGAGCAAUCAAUACACGAGUUGGAAAAAAAUACAACAACCACAAAGAAAUGCAAUCUAUGAAUAUUGUCUGAUAAUUAAAAUAACCGAAAGUGAACAUACAAUAUGAUUUAUAGGAACGAAAAAGUACAACGCGCAACAUAAACAAAGAAAGGAAAUACAUUCAUUUGUAUAUGUACAUAUAAGGAUGACGAUGGCCACCGAACAGAAACAGUACCAGUUAAAAACAUUAUCAUCAACUAUAACUACAAAUUCAACGGCAACUACAAGCGAUUCUUGCCUGACGUAUAUAUAAACGCAUACACAUGAACAUAUUAUAUAUGUAUGUAUUUAAAUUGUAUCCAGAUAUAAAUACAAAAGUUAUGGCAAACAAAAUCCAUAAAUAAGAACGAUCAACGAGUAUAUGCUCUGCCUUGUUUUUUGGCUUGAAUUCCUUUAUUUGUGUUGUUUUAAAUAAUAUAGAAUGUAUUUGUAAUCUGUAAAAAAAGAAAAUAAAAAAUAAAAACAAAUAAAUAAAAUACCAAACCAAAUAAAAAAGUAAAAAAGGAAGCAAUCGUACACCACACCAGUAUUGAACACUGGAUAAAGGAUCAUAAAACCAUAAAUGUAUACAAAUCUGCCAGCCAGCCAACCAACGAGCCAGUGGGAAAAGGUUACGAAAACAAAAAUAAAACUUUUUUUGUCUCUUUAUUUUUAUGAACAAGUACUCUGCAUAUUUAAGAGCUGUGAGCCGAACGCUGUGAUAUCACUGAAGUUUUCCUUUUUUAACAACUUCAAUACAAAUAUAAAAUAAUAAACCAACACCAAUCGAAACAACAAAUAGAAAAACUUUCUACAUUCAUAUGAAAAUUCAUAUUUCUGUUUUGUAAAACAGUUUGUUUAAGUUUAAACGUGUCUGUUUGUUUGUCUGUCUGUCUGUCGGGCCGUAUGUGCGGACGUGAAUGUGCCCAAAAACUACAGACACUUAAAAUUGUAUUGUUGUAUACUUUGCUCCUUAAAACGAGUAUUUGGUAGAUAACACAUAUAUAGUGUGGAUGUUAAGGAAUGAUAGAGAACAGAACAAUAAGUACAAGGCCAACGAGAAGGAAAAUUGUUUUUUAACACUACACAACUACAUAAAAACGACGUUAAGCCAGUAGUCAGUCAUAUAGCGGACCAACCAGUCAGCCACACAGUCAUUCAGUUAUAUAAAAGUUUCGUACCCAAUUGCCUUGGAUCCCAUAUAAAGUGUGAUUUAUACGCACAUUUUUCUUACAAACCUACGUACACAAAAGUAAAUCAUUGAAUGUUAUAUGUAUGUAUGUAUGUAUGUGUGUGAAUAAUUGAAUGGUUGGACGUACGGACGGACAAAUAGCCAUUUGUUUGAUAGUGUGUAAAUUUUACGUAUGUUUCAACAAACUGCUUUAUACCCAAAUACCCAAACGUACCGUAUCGCAUGAAUGUUAUUCAUUGAAACAUUUAAAAUCUCCAACAUUCAUAUAAACAAACAUACGCAAGGAAAAACGCACAAACACACACAUUCAAGUAUUGAAAUUACUAACCCACUUGUGUGCAAAUACAUUUCUCCAUUCAUUUGUACUUAUAUGUGUGUGCGUACGUAUAUGUUUGUAGGGAGCAGAAGAGCAAACAAUAGUUCAUUCUAUUUGUAAUUUUACUAUUUGGUGCUUGCUAAAGAGGCUUUACGAGCAAUAAAUGUCGAGUUAAGUCCUUUACGUCUUCUGCCUAAAGAGGCUGGUCAACCUAAACUAUUAAUUAAAGGCAACUAAAUCUGAUGGAAAAACAAGCUCGCACACACAAGUAAAUUUCGCACACCAUUUAGAUUGUACGCACCCAGACAAAUAAAAACAAAACAAAAACAUAGAAAAAACUAAAAUAUUUGGUGAAAUACGACAGCAGCAGGUUCAACGAAAUAUAUGUGAGACACUUCCAAUUGCCAUCUAAGCAAUACCAACUAGCAAACAAAAGCAAUCUAAUCACUAUACACCUACUAAACAAACGUUGUACAGUCGGAAAACACACAGACAGGCGAGGUCGGCCGUUAGCCAGUUUGUAUCACAUAAUGACCACACCGACGGAAGUGAAAUAUACGAGUUUAUCGCUGUCAUCGUUAAUCACAUGUUUUAUAUCCUGCUUUGUACUUGUUAGCUGCCUGCUGGAGAACUUUGUCUCGACGUCAGCUAAUGCUACGCCAUUGGCAGUGGCCGAGGAAGUUUUAAGUUGGGAUCAUGCAGUCGAUUUGAAUGAGGAUUUUCGUAUUUUAUGGAAAAUCAUUAAUCAAGAUAUAACAUUUGAAAUACAAGCACGUACACUGGGCUAUGUAGGUUUCGGAUUUUCACCCGAUGGUAAUAUUGCUGGCUCUGAUAUGGCCAUUGGUUGGGUUGACAGAGGCCAAACAUAUUUUCAGGACCGUCAUUUAAAACGUAAUGGAGACCCUGAGCCAAUUGUUGACCCCUCACAGGAUUACAUGCUAAUGCUGGGUUAUGAAAAUAGAACACAUACUGUACUAAGAUUUCGUAGAAAACUUGAUACUUGUGAUAAUGUACAUGACAUAGCAAUAACGAAUGAUACAAUGCGUGUUCUAUACAUGUAUAAUGAGAAUGAUCCACCACACGGGUCUGUGAGAUCUAGUCCACUACCAAAUUCCGCAGCAUCAUUUCAUCCUUAUAGGCCAAUAGUGCUGACACAACGACCGCAUAUACACUACCGGCAUUUAGAACAUAUUCGCAUACUGGAACUACGCAAUGAAGAUGUUGAACUGCCGAGAUUUGAUGACUCGUUAAUUUGGUGUAAAAUGUUUAAAUUGGACGACAUGAAGCACAAACAUCACUUAAUAAGGUAUGAACCCAUAUACGAUUCCCCAUCCAGUGUCCAUUAUUUACAACGCAUAACUCUAAGAGAAUGCCAUGGCAUGCACCAAGAAUUGGAGGAAAUGGCACGCGAACAAGGACGACAGUGCAUGGGUGCUCGUGAUAUUCCAUUAGCAUGUAAUGCUAUAGUUGCCUCGUGGUCACGCGGCUCUAAUAGUUUUACAUUCCCAGAAGAGGCUGGAUACCCAAUGGAAUCUCGCCAAUCCAAAUAUUAUCUCAUGGAAACUCACUAUAUAAAUUUACAGCCUGAUAUAAAACAAAUGUCAGCAAGACAAAUGGCAGACAACUCUGGACUAAAAAUUCAUUUUACUCAUGUAUUACGUCCUUAUGAUGCAGGAGUGCUAUCAAUUGGCAUGGAUCCAAAUUGGCGACAUAUAAUACCACCUGGACAGAAUCAGGUGGUGUCAGAAGGACAAUGUGUGGAAGACUGCACCGCAUAUGCAUUUCCACCCGAAGGCAUUCAUAUAUUUGCAGUAAUGAUGAGUACCCAUCUAAUUGGGAAGGAAGUUAAACUACGACAGAUUCGACAAACCGAAGAAUUACCACCAAUUGCACACGAUAGCAAUAUAGACGUCGCCUACCAAGACUUCCGUCGUCUGUUAACACCCGUGCAGGCAUUGCCUGGUGAUAGGCUUGUAGCUGAAUGCAUUUAUGAUAGUUCGUCACGGAAAGCAAUAACACUAGGUGGUUUAACUAUGAAGGAGGAAAGUUGUAUUGUAUUGACUCUUUACUACCCGCGACAAAAUAAGCUAACUACCUGUCAUUCACUUCCUAGUCUGCCAACAGUUCUUCACUCGCUUGGCAUUGAGCAACUAGCAACAGAUUCAAAUCCAGUACUCAUAUCUUCUCCUCCAGAAUUAUCAGGAAUGACGUUAGAGACAAGACUGUUAUCAUAUGACUGGCAAAAUCAUUUUAAUGAAUUCCAAGAGGCGACCAGAAAAGGUUCAUUUAAGCCACUUUGUUGGGGUGCAAAAAAUCAUGUUGUACCGAAUACGGAAUACCUGGAGGGUUACAACGUAAACAUUACGAAAUCCUAUAGAAAACAGAAACACUGUAAACACAAGAGACUGUUUGUGACGGAAGAAACAGUGCCUGACAUCAACUUUCCUGUUCUACAUGAAGUCGACAACAACAACAUUAUUGAGGGUGCUGCUCGAAGCAGUAGAAGUUCUGCCACAGAUGGAUUAAGUGUAACCCACGGCUAUAGUCGAACGAUUGCAACAACUUUAUCAUCUACAACAUCGUUUCUAAUGUUGCAGCAAGUAUUCAGGUGGUGGUGCUUCCUUCCAUCGUGAAAGAUUUAAAAUGUCACAAAUUCACCACAAUUGUGUCGGAGAACAUAUGAUAUUGCUACGUUGUGCAUUAAGCCAUUGGUGUAUGUUUGUGAGAGAUAACGUACAAUUAUAUAUUGAAGCUGAAGUUAAGUUAAUAUCAUUCUGAAAAAAUAUUUGAAAGCAAUAUAUUGUGUUCAAUACAUUUAAGUUUAAGGUAUAAAAAAAUUUAAUAUUUCCUAGCAAAAUCUUCACACACUUUUUACUUUUUGAGUGAAUAACUACACGUUUCUGUUAGACGAUGACAAAAAAAAAAUAACUACUUGCAAGUGCUAUUCAUAACGACCACUCAUUACCAAUUAUAAAAACAUGCAAAUAUAUUUUACUGGGUUAUGCACAUUUAAAACUAUUUUAAAUUAAAGAUUAA